RNAcentral lists this long non-coding RNA (995 nucleotides) under Lactuca sativa (garden lettuce). RNAcentral describes it as "long non-coding RNA (LSAT_LNC000753)". Lineage: Eukaryota; Viridiplantae; Streptophyta; Magnoliopsida; Asterales; Asteraceae. The record is from RNAcentral.
CCCGAUGGCCUAAUUGUAAUUCAGCCCAAAAGAAUACCCUUUACGGUCAAUGUUCGCAACCCUCAGGUCAGCUCUUUCUCCUCCUCAUAAACCCUUCUACGCUCCUUCAUUUCGUCCUCCAACCCUUUCGCCGCUUUUCUGGAGCCGCAGCAUACGCGGAUCCAUUCAUUCGCUUCUCUCUCUCGAAAGGUAAAAUCCCUUGAUCUCUCAACUCCCUUUCUUUACGCAUCUUUGCUUUGUAGAUCUGAAGUAUCGUAGCUUCUUGUUGAUAGAUCUGUAUUUAGCUCUUUGUUUUGUUUAUUUCUAUAUACUUGCACUUGGUUUUAUCGGAUCGACGUAGAUCUGAAUAAACAAAACUUGAUUCAUAAGAUCAAGUGUUGUUUCUGUGCUGUUUACAUCGAUUUUGCGUUUAGCUUUUCGUGUUUUCGGUUUUCUAUGUUUUUAUAUACUAGAUCUGGUCUAUGAUCGGUUUUUAGUUGUCCGAAAUCCUUGUCCAUUACUUUGUAGUAUCCAUUUCAUGAUUCUGAGUUAAGAAAUAAUUGCGAAUCUUCCGCUCCUCUGUCUGUCGUCCAUUAAAAUCGCAUCUGUUGAUUUUACGUUUUCCAGUUGACCAAAAUAGUUCGUUGACCAAAAUCAACAUCAUUUCGUUGCAACUAUAACUAGAAAUGAUUCAAUCUGUGGGAGAUCUAAAAUAGAAAUUGUUUUGAUAUUUAUGUGAUCCGUGUUCGAUUGAGGUUUAACUACUUGAUGUUAUGUCGAUCUGUUGAAAACAUUUUCAUUAUUUAAUCAUUUAAACUUUGACAUCUGGGUUGACGUAUUUUUUCCCUUGUGUAGGGGUCAUGACGAUCGAUCAUUCACAUCACCCAAGUGUUUCCCAGAAGCUCGGUCUUCUUGGAUCCAGCAUGACACAGCUUCGUGCUCGUGAGACUGGAGUCCAGCAGCCACUUUACCAGAGGCAAUUUCAAUAUGGAAAUUACUCAAAUGCUGCAUUUCAG